UCUCACGCUCGCUCUGCUCUAUCACAUAAUACCACUUCUGCAGCUCCCUGCGAAUAAUCAAACCACUUCUGCAGAUCCCUGCGAACAAUCAAACAAUCAAACCAGCGUCGCAACCGCAAACCACCAAAAGGUUUCGAAAUUUGUUGGAUGAUUCGUAGUGGUGUUUAGAGAGAGAUAAUACUGAACGUUUGAAUUGUUGCAAGCAGCAGCAGGUUAGGUACUCUCAAUUUCCUCAAAUGGCUAGUAUCCAUGAUGAGCCGGAAAUUUCUCCCGAGGAGGAGGAGCAUAUGAAGAACAUGGCUAGAUACAGGGACCAUUUGAUAGCAAAAACAAUUGAGCGAAGAGAACGUGCUGCCAAAGAGGCUAUAGCUGCGGGGGCGCGAGCCCGAAAGUUACAAUCACAAAAUCACCCAAUAUGAUUGGCUCCUUCUUCCCCCAAGCAUACUCAAUUAACCAAUAUCGUAUGACGAGCUCAGGAGAUGGUCAUUGCACGUCAAGUGCUCCCAAGGAAGCCACUAGUGCCAAUAAGGAAGCUAAUGGAGUGGAGGGUAAAACUGUUUGAAAAUGUUUAAAGUCCAUUCCCUGUUGCCUCGUGAAGGAAAGGUAGUUAUGCACCAGUCUUCUCUCAUUUGGCAGAAGUCUGCUCUGGUUUCUUUUUUGUCCCAUUCAAAUUCUUUUGUACAUACUGUAAUCUGGAUAUUUCUAACGCACAGAGUCCGUUUUGGUUCAUUAUCAGUAUUCAAUUCAGUCUCGUGUUUAACUAUUUUCUACCGAAUGUAUGCAUCACAUGCUUUGGUGAUUGGCGUAAGGAUGGAUCUUAAUCCAUCACAAACUGUUAUUGGUUGCGGUCCUUGAUCUUUAACGUUACAAUAUUUUACAUACAUCUUUAAAUAUAUGUUAGCAUCGCCAGUGGCAGAGCCAGGCCACGGUUUUUUAUUUGAAAUGAUAUUUGUUCCCAAUAAUUUUGGGUUUGGAUGGA
This is a long non-coding RNA of Papaver somniferum (opium poppy), 979 nucleotides long. RefSeq lists it as uncharacterized. The record is from RefSeq and is a predicted model, not a curated record. The transcript is spliced from 5 exons. NCBI's taxonomy places the organism in Eukaryota, Viridiplantae, Streptophyta, Magnoliopsida, Ranunculales, Papaveraceae.